GAAAGUAAGCAAGGGCAGACGGUGGAUGCCUUGGCUCUCGGAGGCGACGAAGGACGUGAUAAGCUGCGAAAAGCCCGGGGGAGGCGCAAAUAGCCGUUGAUCCCGGGAUAUCCGAAUGGGGCAACCCGGCAGGCUGAAGGCCUGUCAUCCCGAAAGGGAGGCGAACGUGGGGAACUGAAACAUCUAAGUACCCAUAGGAGGAGAAAAUAAACAAUGAUUCCGUAAGUAGUGGCGAGCGAACACGGAAGAGCCCAAACCCAUGUCGUCUAGGCGACACGGGGGUUGUAGGACCACGACGUGGCAAGAAGGAAGGGAAAUGGAACGCCUUGGAAAAGUCGGCCAUAGACGGUGAAAGCCCGGUACAUGACUCCCUUACGAAGCCUAGUGGUAUCCUGAGUAGCGCGGGGCACGAGAAAUCUUGCGUGAAUUAGCGGGGCCCAUCCCGUAAGGCUAAAUACUCCCGAGAGACCGAUAGCGAACCAGUACCGUGAGGGAAAGGUGAAAAGAACCCCGAGCAGGGGAGUGAAAUAGACCCUGAACCCGUCUGCCUACAAGCGGUCGGAGCGUCGUAAUGACGUGACGGCGUGCCUUUUGCAUAAUGAACCUACGAGUUACCUUCCCCGGCAAGGUUAAGUUCUUGAGGAACGGAGCCGAAGCGAAAGCGAGUCUGAACAGGGCGCCAAGUCGGGGGGGGUAGACGCGAAACCGAGUGAUCUACCCUUGGCCAGGUUGAAGGUUGGGUAACACCAACUGGAGGACCGGAUGGGUAAGCGUUGAAAAGCUUUCCAAUGAGCUGAGGGUAGGGGUGAAAGGCUAAUCAAACUCGGAGAUAGCUCGUACUCCCCGAAAUGCAUUUAGGUGCAGCCUCUUUAUAGUAUAUCGUGAGGUAGAGCGACUGAUUGGAUGCGAGGGCUUCACCGCCUAUCAAGUCCAGAUAAACUCCGAAUGCGCGAUAUAUAUUUACAGGGAGUGAGGGCGCGGGUGCUAAGGUCCGUGUCCGAGAGGAGAAGAAUCCAGACCACCGGCUAAGGCCCCCAAAUGAUCGUUAAGUUGAACUAACGAGGUCGGAUCGCAGAGACAGCUAGGAUGUUGGCUUGGAAGCAGCCAUUCAUUUAAAGAGUGCGUAACAGCUCACUAGUCGAGCGAUCUGGCGUGGAUAAUAAUCGGGCAUAAACGAUCUGCCGAAGCCGUGGAUGUCGCAAGACAUGGUAGGGGAGCAUUCCAUGCCGCGUCGAAGAUGAGGGAUGACCCUUGUUGGAGCGCAUGGAAAAGCAAAUGUAGGUAUGAGUAACGAUAAGGGGGGCGAGAAACCCCCCCGCCGAAAGACCAAGGUUUCCUGAUCAACGCUAAUCGGAUCAGGGUGAGUCGGGACCUAAGGCAAAGCCGAACGGCGCCGCCGAUGGAAGAAUGGGUUAAUAUUCCCAUACUGCCUCAUGGAGUGACGUGGAGACGGAGAAGUGACAGUCCUGCCGGCUGACGGAAUAGCCGGUUGAAGGGUGUAGAUAUUGAUUCCCGUAGGCAAAUCCGCGGGGAGAGUCGAACCUGAGAGUAUACGGAGCGCUUGCGCAACGUAAUAUGGACGUAACCAUGCUCCCGAGAAAAUCCGCUAAACUUAUCCAUGCGGCACCCGUACCGUAAACGGACACACGUGGUCGGGUUGAGAAUACUGAGGCGCUCGAGUGAUUCACGGUUAAGGAACUAGGCAAAUUGACCCUGUAACUUCGGGAUAAAGGGUCCUCGUCGUAAGGCGAGGCGCAGAGAAUAGGUCCAGGCAACUGUUUAACAAAAACACAUGGCUGUGCUAAAUGGAAACAUGAUGUAUACAGCCUGACACCUGCCCGGUGCCGGAAGGUUAAGAGGAGAUGUCAUCCGCGAGGAGAAGCGUUGAAUUGAAGCCCCGGUAAACGGCGGCCGUAACUAUAACGGUCCUAAGGUAGCGAAAUUCCUUGUCGGGUAAGUUC
This 1961-nucleotide ribosomal RNA is filed under the name human gut metagenome. RNAcentral's name for it is "bacterial LSU rRNA". It matches the Rfam family "Bacterial large subunit ribosomal RNA", at positions 1 to 1983 of the family's 2925-position model. The record is from RNAcentral.